RNAcentral lists this long non-coding RNA (65 nucleotides) under Coturnix japonica (Japanese quail). RNAcentral describes it as "lncRNA (ENSCJPG00005004792.1)". The record is from RNAcentral. Lineage: Eukaryota; Metazoa; Chordata; Aves; Galliformes; Phasianidae.
AUGUGGGUCAGAUCUAUGGGUCAAUGUGUGGGUCAGUUCUAUGGGGCAGAUCUAUGGGGCAGAUC